AUUGAACGCUGGCGGCAGGCCUAACACAUGCAAGUCGAACGGUAACAGGAAGAAGCUUGCUUCUUUGCUGACGAGUGGCGGACGGGUGAGUAAUGUCUGGGAAACUGCCUGAUGGAGGGGGAUAACUACUGGAAACGGUAGCUAAUACCGCAUAACGUCGCAAGACCAAAGAGGGGGACCUUCGGGCCUCUUGCCAUCGGAUGUGCCCAGAUGGGAUUAGCUAGUAGGUGGGGUAACGGCUCACCUAGGCGACGACCCCUAGCUGGUCUGAGAGGAUGACCAGCCACACUGGAACUGAGACACGGUUCAGACUCCUACGGGAGGCAGCAGGUGGGAAUAUUGGACAAUGGGCGGAAGCCUGAUUCAGCCAUGCCGCGGGUUAGAAGAAGGGCUUCGGGUUUGAAAGUACUUUCAGCGGGGAGGAAGGGAGUAAAGUUAAUACCUUUGCUCAUUGACGUUACCCGCAGAAGAAGCACCGGCUAACUCCGUG
RNAcentral lists this ribosomal RNA (490 nucleotides) under uncultured bacterium. RNAcentral's name for it is "partial 16S ribosomal RNA". It matches the Rfam family "Bacterial small subunit ribosomal RNA", at positions 30 to 507 of the family's 1533-position model. The record is from RNAcentral.